UUCCUACGGGAGGCAGCAGUAGGGAAUCUUCCGCAAUGGACGAAAGUCUGACGGAGCAACGCCGCGUGAGUGAUGAAGGUUUUCGGAUCGUAAAGCUCUGUUGUUAGGGAAGAACAAGUACCGUUCGAAUAGGGCGGUACCUUGACGGUACCUAACCAGAAAGCCACGGCUAACUACGUGCCAGCAGCCGCGGUAAUACGUAGGUGGCAAGCGUUGUCCGGAAUUAUUGGGCGUAAAGGGCUCGCAGGCGGUUCCUUAAGUCUGAUGUGAAAGCCCCCGGCUCAACCGGGGAGGGUCAUUGGAAACUGGGGAACUUGAGUGCAGAAGAGGAGAGUGGAAUUCCACGUGUAGCGGUGAAAUGCGUAGAGAUGUGGAGGAACACCAGUGGCGAAGGCGACUCUCUGGUCUGUAACUGACGCUGAGGAGCGAAAGCGUGGGGAGCGAACAGGAUUAGAUACC
Molecule: ribosomal RNA, 459 nt
Filed under: Bacillus sp. (in: firmicutes)
Lineage: Bacteria; Bacillati; Bacillota; Bacilli; Caryophanales; Bacillaceae
Description: bacterial SSU rRNA
Rfam family: Bacterial small subunit ribosomal RNA
Source: RNAcentral